RNAcentral lists this ribosomal RNA (253 nucleotides) under uncultured bacterium. RNAcentral's name for it is "partial 16S ribosomal RNA". It matches the Rfam family "Bacterial small subunit ribosomal RNA", at positions 524 to 776 of the family's 1533-position model. The record is from RNAcentral.
UACGGAGGAUGCAAGUGUUAUCCGGAAUCACUGGGCGUAAAGCGUCUGUAGGUGGUUUAAUAAGUCAACUGUUAAAUCUUGAGGCUCAACUUCAAAAUCGCAGUCGAAACUGUUAGACUAGAGUAUAGUAGGGGUAAAGGGAAUUUCCAGUGGAGCGGUGAAAUGCAUAGAUAUUGCACAGAACACCGAUCGCGAAGGCAGCUCACUAACCGUAUAUUGACGCUGAUGGACGAAAGCGUGGGGAGCGAACGGG